GGCGAUGCGAUCUUCGCUCCCGGGGGGAGU
This 30-nucleotide small RNA is filed under the name Bombyx mori (domestic silkworm). Its description in RNAcentral is "ovarian small RNA-17439". Lineage: Eukaryota; Metazoa; Arthropoda; Insecta; Lepidoptera; Bombycidae. The record is from RNAcentral.